CGUAGGUAAUCUACCUUCGGAUGGGGAAUAACAAUCGGAAACGGUUGCUAAUACCGCAUAAUGCAGCGGCACCUAAUGGUGACAGUUGUUAAAGCGGGGGAUCGAAAGACCUCGCGUCUGAAGAGGAGCCUGCGGCGGAUUAGCUAGUUGGUAAGGUAAUGGCUUACCAAGGCGACGAUCCGUAACCGGCCUGAGAGGGCGGUCGGUCACACUGACACUGACAUACGGGUCAG
Molecule: ribosomal RNA, 233 nt
Filed under: uncultured bacterium
Lineage: Bacteria
Description: partial 16S ribosomal RNA
Rfam family: Bacterial small subunit ribosomal RNA
Source: RNAcentral